GGACAAGUGUGGCUUGUUGAUUCCCUUUUGGGGGAAUAGGAAAGUCUGGACACCACAGAGCAGCAUAGUGGGUAACACCCACCACUCGUGAGAGGAGGACCAGUGCAACAGAAAGCAAGUACAGUUCGGCUGUAGUGAAAUCAGGUAAACUCUAUGCGGUGCAACGCCAAGUAUAUCAGCAACUAAGGGUAGCUCGUCCAAUGCUGAGGGGUAGGCGGCUCAAGUUUUGUAGCAAUGCAAAAUUUAGAUAAAUAACAAGCUCUCUUUUUUAGAGAACAGAAUCCAGCUUAUAGCACUUGUCCUUUU
Molecule: RNase P RNA, 306 nt
Filed under: Flavobacteriaceae bacterium
Lineage: Bacteria; Pseudomonadati; Bacteroidota; Flavobacteriia; Flavobacteriales; Flavobacteriaceae
Description: RNase P RNA component class A
Rfam family: Bacterial RNase P class A
About the family: Ribonuclease P (RNase P) is a ubiquitous endoribonuclease, found in archaea, bacteria and eukarya as well as chloroplasts and mitochondria. Its best characterised activity is the generation of mature 5'-ends of tRNAs by cleaving the 5'-leader elements of precursor-tRNAs.
Source: RNAcentral